This 644-nucleotide long non-coding RNA is filed under the name Anas platyrhynchos platyrhynchos (common mallard). RNAcentral describes it as "lncRNA (ENSAPLG00000020693.1)". Lineage: Eukaryota; Metazoa; Chordata; Aves; Anseriformes; Anatidae. The record is from RNAcentral.
UUUGGAUGGUUCCUUCCUAAUCUCCAUCAAGCAAACUUGUGCUCCUGCUCUUCUUCUUAGGCACCUGGCUCAGAUAAACCUAGGAGCAGAUGGAGCAAGGAUCUACGUGGUAUUCUACAUCAGGCUCCACAAAAUUUGUGACCGAAGUUGGUCUUAUGCCAGCCUACAAUUAUGCAGGAGCAAGAAGACAAAGGCUUACAUAUAUCCAUCCAGCAUAUUUCCAUCACCCUUCGCAGCCCUGCAACUCUGUUCACAGAUGUUAAACACCACAGCUCUUAUCACAAGUGUUAAAACAUAUGGUAUAUUGGGAGAAAGAAUGAACAAUUUGAAAGAAAUCCCAGCUGUUGCAUAGGAAGAUUAUUUAGCUCACUCCAGACUCCUUAUUCUACUGCAAAGAUAAAAGUGACCCAAACAACCACUGGAAUGGCCACUGGAGACUGGUAAUUUGGGAGGAUCUUAUAUCAUGUAAGUGUAACCAUACAUGAAAUGAGUUGGGAAGGGCACUGCACCCUGAGGAGCCUUUUACCUGCAGCAUAGUUUUGAAUAUCCUUGAACUGGCCUGUUUACACCAAAGAUAGACAGGUCCCAGCUAGAACAUGAUCUUUAUUCAAGGAGUAUAUUUUUGUAUCUGUUUCACUUUAGGC